Long non-coding RNA from Bufo gargarizans (Asiatic toad), 2064 nucleotides. RefSeq lists it as uncharacterized. The record is from RefSeq and is a predicted model, not a curated record. Lineage: Eukaryota; Metazoa; Chordata; Amphibia; Anura; Bufonidae. The transcript is spliced from 4 exons.
CCAGCACGAUGCCAUGUUUCUAAAUAGAACACAAGUAUGUGUCAGCUGCUGGAGAAAGGGCAAGUCAUCCUUUGGAUAUGGGUAACGAAAAUGCCUUUUGGAUACUGGAUAUGAAUGCGCAUAAGCAAAUCUAAAAAGCUUACAUUUUGAUGACAUUUUCAUCUUUGGCUGCCAAGAAUACAUGGGAAAAGACAGUGGGAGGCUGUAAAGUACAGCGACACAAGACUUUUCUUGUUAAAGGUCAACUGUGAUCCAGAAUCUUGGCAUUUUCUUUCUGAAGACAUAUUUGUAACAGCAAUAGGAUUUGUAUGAUGCAUAGAGAGCCUGCACUUCCAGAAGUAAGGAAGAAAGAAAAGGUAAGAUGAUACUGAAGGAGGCAGAAACACAGAGGGAAGCAAGUGUACAGCAAAAGUCAUGUGAAUUGGUGUGCAAGUUGGCGAAUUUCCUAAUUGUCAGUAAAGGGCAGCAGAAAGAAAGACAAAGAAAAUAAAGGAAAUUCAAGUGGAAUCAAAAGGAAAGACUGGGCAAGACAGAAAAGAAGCAGGCAUCAGCAACAGAAUAAAGAAGCUAAGACACUCAAAAUGCAGAUGUAAAUGUCAUCACUAAAGGUCACCCCAUUCUGUUUCAAGGAGACAAAUAAAACUUAUAAAGGGGUUGUCUCACUUCAGCAAAUGGCAUUUAUCACACAAAGUUAAUACAAGGCUUUUACUAAUGUAUUGUGAUUCUCCAUAUUGCCUCCUUUGCUGGCUUGAUUCAUUUUUCCCACCUCAUUAUACACUGCUCAUAUCCAGGGGUUACAGACCCAGCUACAGCGCAGAUACGAGGUGGCCGGCACGGGAGCCGCUGUGCAUGUUUGCCUAUGCACGCCCGCACAGUCCCAGCCACCAGAGAGGCCGGUGCUUUUUCCUGCAGUGUCCAAGCACAACCACCAUUGAUGGAUUGCAGGGUGGUCGUAAACGCUGGAAACGAGCAGUGUAUAAUGUGAUUGAAAAAUUAAUCAAGCCAGCAAAGGAGGCAAUAUGGUAAUCACAAUACAUUAGCAAGUGCCUUGUUCUAAAGGGGUUGUCUCAUCAUGGACAAUAGGGGCAUAUCGCUAGGAUAUGCCCCCAUGGUCUUAUACGUGCGGGUCCCACCGAUGGCACCCGCACCUAUAUCGAGAACAGAGCCCCGCAAGUAAAGGAGGGCACACUGCGCCUGCGCAGCCGCCCUCCAUUCAUUUUCUAUGGGGCCAGCUAAAAUAGUCAAGCGCUGGCGGUACUCUCCGAUUCACUUCUAUGGGGAGCCGUCUUGGAGGUGGCCGGACCAGAGUCCUCCAGCCACCACUUUGCAGGGCUCCGUUCUCUAUAUAGCGGUGGGACCCACACCUAUAAGACAAUGGGGCAUAUCCAAGUGAUAUGGUCCCAUUGUCCAUGAUGAGACAACCCCUUUAACUUUACCUACAUGAUAACUGCCAUUUGCUGGAGUGAGACAACCCCUUUAAAGUUUUAUACCCAUCUCAAGCAUUUGUUUCCCUCUAUUGAAAUCCUUACUAGAAAGAAACCAACUGCUGCAUUCAGCACAAUUUUCUGACGACCAGAAUUUAAAGUUCACUGGCUCCACAUUCCUUGGAUCCUGAGCAUUUGUGGGUGGUGCACACCGCCUGUCAAUCAAGCACCCCUGUGAGGACCUCACAGCGCUGCUGACUUUGUUUUGCACACUCCCAAUGCUACAUGUACUAUAAAGAACCACAGAACUUCUGUACAUGCCUGGGAGCCAUCCUAUAGAGAUACAGAUAGGUGGCUGGGUAGUGGCAAGUGGGGGCUCCUGAGAUUCUGGCCAUUCACUCUAUAAACUGAACGAACGGUAUACACACGAGCAACCGCUGUCAGACGGUGGCGGACGUAACUGGAGACAAUAGCUGCCAAACAGCGAAUGGAUCCUGGAUGAAUGGUAGAUUUUUUAUAAAUUUGCCAUUAUAUACAUUUUUAGAUUAUGGGUUACACUAAAUAUCGAGAUGUGAAUAUCCCUUUAACCAAAAGAGUAAUAAAACGUGUGAUAUCUCAUCCAAGUGAGUCAGUUUGUCCU